This 207-nucleotide ribosomal RNA is filed under the name uncultured bacterium. Its description in RNAcentral is "partial 16S ribosomal RNA". It matches the Rfam family "Bacterial small subunit ribosomal RNA", at positions 568 to 773 of the family's 1533-position model. The record is from RNAcentral.
CGUCUAGGCGGACCGCGUAAGUCUCGCGUGAAAGCUCCCGGCUCAACUGGGAGAGGGCGCGGGAAACUGUGUGGCUCGAGACUCGGAGGGGGGUGCGGAAUUCCCGGUGGAGUGGUGAAAUGCGUUGAGAUCGGGAGGAACACCAGUAGCGAAGGCGGCACCCUGGCCGAGGUCUGACGCUGAAGCGCGAUAGCGUGGGGAGCGAAC